AAAAAUAAAGAAAGGGAGAGAAACCCAUUUUUCUCGGAUUCCCUUUCUCUCACUCUCUCCCAAUUGUUAUGCCCAGCUCCGAUCGAGGCACUUUCAGCCACGACCACCGCCACGCGCCGCACAGGCAGCUCUGGAGGCCACCGAAACCCCCAGCCUCGUGAGCUUCUCUCCUCACGCGUGGGGUAAGGCCCUCAACAGAGCCUUCAUAGUCGCGGCGACGCCAUACAUUCCGAGACUUUUCAGCUUCAAUCCGGCACCUCAGGUCACCAAAGCCAAGCAACCACGACCAUCAUGUUCCUUGCAUCGCAGGCUUCAAAACCCAUUAAGGAAUCAGACCCGAGACUCGUCAUAGUUGGAUGUUUAAACUCGACGGCGUUCAUGGUGCAAAUUCGGCUACCUCAUGCGGUGGUGAGCAUCACCGCCACAACCAUGCGACUCCUCGGGACCUGGGCUUCAAAACCCAGUGGCCCAUUUCUUCAACCACCUUGGUUGAACAAUAGCACCACUGUACGCCGCCCGGCUCCACCGUGGGGUCUUGGCCAGGUAGUUACAAGUUAUUGGAGGAUCGUUUUGAGCUCCAAAGUUCAUGAUUGAGCUCGUAUCGUUCUCCCGAGCGUAUGGGGUUUCUCUUUGGCACGAUUUGUGAUGUGGGGAGUUCCGGUGUCUGAGUGUGUAUGGCGUAGGGGUAUCCUAUGAACGAAUAAACGAUCAACAUAAGCGCCGAGUUUUAAAGAAUCAUGUCAUAGACUUUAGUUUUAAAACCAUCAGCGGGACUUAAAUUUUAUUUUCUUUAAACGAUGCAUAAGAACACUUUAUUUUUAUUUUAAACUAUUGGAUCCAACUUGCAUGUUUUAUACAGGCUCCACUGAAUUUCAUA
This is a long non-coding RNA of Humulus lupulus (European hop), 877 nucleotides long. RefSeq lists it as uncharacterized. The transcript has 2 exons. Lineage: Eukaryota; Viridiplantae; Streptophyta; Magnoliopsida; Rosales; Cannabaceae. The record is from RefSeq and is a predicted model, not a curated record.